Molecule: ribosomal RNA, 735 nt
Filed under: Pseudomonas libanensis
Lineage: Bacteria; Pseudomonadati; Pseudomonadota; Gammaproteobacteria; Pseudomonadales; Pseudomonadaceae
Description: bacterial SSU rRNA
Rfam family: Bacterial small subunit ribosomal RNA
Source: RNAcentral
GUAGAGAGAAGCUUUGCUUCUCUUGAGAGCGGCGGACGGGUGAGUAAUGCCUAGGAAUCUGCCUGGUAGUGGGGGAUAACGUUCGGAAACGGACGCUAAUACCGCAUACGUCCUACGGGAGAAAGCAGGGGACCUUCGGGCCUUGCGCUAUCAGAUGAGCCUAGGUCGGAUUAGCUAGUUGGUGGGGUAAUGGCUCACCAAGGCGACGAUCCGUAACUGGUCUGAGAGGAUGAUCAGUCACACUGGAACUGAGACACGGUCCAGACUCCUACGGGAGGCAGCAGUGGGGAAUAUUGGACAAUGGGCGAAAGCCUGAUCCAGCCAUGCCGCGUGUGUGAAGAAGGUCUUCGGAUUGUAAAGCACUUUAAGUUGGGAGGAAGGGUUGUAGAUUAAUACUCUGCAAUUUUGACGUUACCGACAGAAUAAGCACCGGCUAACUCUGUGCCAGCAGCCGCGGUAAUACAGAGGGUGCAAGCGUUAAUCGGAAUUACUGGGCGUAAAGCGCGCGUAGGUGGUUUGUUAAGUUGGAUGUGAAAUCCCCGGGCUCAACCUGGGAACUGCAUUCAAAACUGACUGACUAGAGUAUGGUAGAGGGUGGUGGAAUUUCCUGUGUAGCGGUGAAAUGCGUAGAUAUAGGAAGGAACACCAGUGGCGAAGGCGACCACCUGGACUAAUACUGACACUGAGGUGCGAAAGCGUGGGGAGCAAACAGGAUUAGAUACCCUGGUAGUCCAC